This is a long non-coding RNA of Siniperca chuatsi (mandarin fish), 224 nucleotides long. RefSeq lists it as uncharacterized. The transcript has 2 exons. Lineage: Eukaryota; Metazoa; Chordata; Actinopteri; Centrarchiformes; Sinipercidae. The record is from RefSeq and is a predicted model, not a curated record.
CAGAUAACUGAAGCCUUUUCUGUAAGAAGAAGCACUCCGUCUGUCGAGCCACGUCCAGGAACUUUUGUAUGCACUGGUCAACACCUGCAAUCAACAAAUAAAUAUACAUCGAUAUACAGAUUCCAGUAUGAGAACUCCCUGGAAAGCAGUACUGAUACUGAGUGGAUUCUCCUGAUGGAAUAAAGUACCUAUUCAUAACUGUUGCAAUAAAGAUGGAGGCACAC